This 301-nucleotide ribosomal RNA is filed under the name uncultured bacterium. Its description in RNAcentral is "partial 16S ribosomal RNA". It matches the Rfam family "Bacterial small subunit ribosomal RNA", at positions 509 to 807 of the family's 1533-position model. The record is from RNAcentral.
CAGUAGCCGCGGGAAUACGGAGGGAGCUAGCGUUGUUCGGAAUUACUGGGCGUAAAGCGCGCGUAGGCGGUUACUCAAGUCAGAGGUGAAAGCCCGGGGCUCAACCCCGGAACUGCCUUUGAAACUAGGUGACUAGAAUCUUGGAGAGGUCAGUGGAAUUCCGAGUGUAGAGGUGAAAUUCGUAGAUAUUCGGAGGAACACCAGUGGCGAAGGCGGCUCACUGGUCCAUUACUGACGCUGAGGUGCGAAAGCGUGGGGAGCAAACAGGAUUAGAUACCCCUGUAGUCCCUGUCUCUUAUAC